Long non-coding RNA from Scleropages formosus (Asian bonytongue), 3040 nucleotides. The record is from Ensembl. Lineage: Eukaryota; Metazoa; Chordata; Actinopteri; Osteoglossiformes; Osteoglossidae.
GGGACGUUGACGCGCAGGCGCGUCUUCAUUUGGCUCGCGCGCCGAAUGCAUGAUUCGCGCAAAACUUACUUAUUCCCUUAUGAAUUUGGAGUACACGGCGAACACAAAACAGCAUUUGCAAGAUGCCAAGAAGCUUCUGGUAAUUUAGUUUCCAGAAGCAGCAGAACCUCCAGUAAUCGAGGAUAUUCGCGUGCUCGGAAACACGCAUAUUCUUAAUUCUUCGGGCAAAGUUAAACAUCAUCAGCGUCGUCACUUGGCAGCUGCGCGCGUAGAAUAUAAAUAAGAAUAUGCAGUAGCAACAGGAGGGUCCAAAUAGAGCGAGUUCCCUUCCUCGCGCCGGAGGUUUAAAAUAGCUCCCGUCGUCGGACGAGCGCGUGCUCGUUUGAACAGUUGUUGCGCGAGCAGCAGGUGUUCGCAGCGGGUGACUUACAGCCCUCCUCGUGGAGGGUCUCUGUCAGAAAUCUCACUCAUUCAUGAGCGCGUGGGGGGGCGGGGAAGGACGCGCGGGAGUGUGUGUGUGUGUGUGUGUGUGUCGGUGGGUGCGUGGGUGGGGGGGUCUGACUGACACCUGUGUUAAGAGCAGAGCCGCCACUCGGCGCGACAGGUUCAGUUAGCGCACUGAGCUCCACGAAAUAUCGAGUCACUUGCGCUCCGACGCUUUGGCAAAGGCUGGGUAAAGUACCUGCUUCUUUACCGAGCCUGUGCCCUGUGAGCGCUGGUGCCCCGGCGGGCUGGAUGUGCAUGGAAGGGAAUGGGGAAAGCAGCUGAUUACAGCAGGGAUUCACAGCGCUCAUGGAAGCACACUGUUGCUGUGCUGCUGCUGCUCAUCCAGCUGCGCUGCUCAAAAGGAGGGACCCAGUGCCGAAUCCUCAGGUGUAACUCGGAGUUUGUGAGCGCGACCAGCAGGAGCCACGAGGGUGGCAACGAGGGCUACUGCAGCGCCCUGCGCUCCUACGCCCUGUGCACCCGGCGGACAGCCAGGGCCUGUCGUGGUGACCUUGCCUACCACUCGGCCGUGCAGGGGAUCGAGGACCUCCUGAUGCAGUACGACUGCCCCAAGACGGGUCCCACCGCCCAGCACCGCCCCCCAUCGCAGACCCCGCUCUCUGGCGACGCUUGUUUCUACGAGAGGGCCUUUCAGCAACGUGAAGGCCGCCUCCCCGAGUACUUACAUUGUGGGGUUUUUGGGGACCCCCACAUACGCACCUUCAACAAUGAGUUUCAGACCUGUGUAGUGGAGGGUGCGUGGCCGCUGAUCGAUAACGAGUACCUGUACGUACAGGCCACCAGCACGGCCGUGGCAGGCCGGGAACGCACCACGGUACUCAGCAAGGUCACCGUCAUCUUCAAGAAUUGGCGCGAGUGCAUCGAGCAGCAGAUCUACCAGGCAGAGCUGGACAAUGUACCGGGUGCCUUCGUGGACGGCUCCGUGAGCGACGGCGAGCGGCGUGGCCACCACAGCCUACAGGUGCGCAGCCAGGCUCCCGGGCGCCACGCGGAGAUCUGGGCCGCGCACAUUGGGACCACCCUGGUGGUUAGACAGACGGGACGCUCACUGGGCCUGUCGGUGCGCUCCCCUCGGGCUAUAGUGGACUCCUUCACCGCGGAGAAAGACCUACAGCUGUGCAUGUGGGGCUGCCCCUCCUCGCAGCGACUGGCUGGUCCCCCGGCAGAUCCCUCCGGCUUCGCUCACACCCACUGCUCUGGCGUCCUCCCCACCAAGGACAUUUACUUCCAAGCCUGUGUGCUGGAUGUCCUGGCCAGCGGGGACUCCAACUCGAGCACCGCUGCCGUUGCAGCCCUGGAGGACGCCCGCGCUAUGAUUUCCGAACCGGAGAAAGUGCACCUGCUGCUUGCGAGGACAGCUGAGCACCGCCCCCGCCUUACCGUGAUUUUCACUGUGGUGAUUUUCACGGGGCAAAUGGUUGAGGCCCUGUCUAUGCUCUGUGCAUAAUCAACAGACUUCAGUUUUUGUAAAAGGUUCUGCCUUCUGUAGCUUCUUCCAGUCAGAGAUUCCACCACUUUUUGGUGGUGCUGGUGAUACCACAAUGUCAUGCAUUAAGUUUCUCUCUACAAGGACAGAAACAAGCAAGUGGCAAAUUCAUUGUUCUCCCAGUUUUUUGUGCUCUCGGUUUGUUUCUGUAUGAUUUUCACUAUUCUGCUAUGGCGCGGAUUAUCUGAAUAUUUUGUGGUUAACAAUAUUUCAUAUGUUCUACAGAAAUGAUGACACUUGACCUGGAGUUAAAGUGCAGUAUUAAACAAUGUGGCACAAAGUGGUUUUGGAUCAUGUAAAUACAGUAUGUACAGUGUUAGUCGGCUGGCAUAACUCGUUUUGUGGAUGUUCCAUUACUGGCAGUUAUGUUUGCUCUACAUACCAAUGUGAGGUGUGUUAAAAAAUGAAUAAUAUAUUUGGUUUUCUGCCACACUCAUUCAAGAGAAAACCGUCUAGAAAAUUACAAUGUUUUAUGCAAUAUGUUUCUGCAUGUGUAAGUAAUAUAUGGCUGUAGUUAGAGUCAAAAAACGAUACAGCCAGAUUUCGAUUCAGAGACCAUCUUCUGUGCUGCCAGCACUGGGGUGAGAGUCCCUGGGUCGAGGGUUGCAAGCCUUCUUCGUUCGUACUGCCUUACCUACUGAAGACCACCUACUGAACAGGCAGAUGUGUCCCGAGAAGCACCUGACCACUCCAAAAACUGCAUGCAACAUAUGAACUCUUCUCCUCUGUGUGAGCAGACACUUGCCUUCACCCCCCCCUCCCAUUUCCACCAUUCCCUAUUGACACUGUGCCAGCCCUGUUUUUAAACAUUGCCCUUUUUAUUCAACUUGUUGCAUGUCUCUCUUUUUCGCAUUUUUCUUUAGUUUGAAGUCUGAAGGAACCUGUUGGAAAGGGUGCAAUACAAAGACAUAUUGAAUUGAAUCAUAGUUAUAUGAACUCAUAUUCGUUAUUAGUGGGAAUAUUUAAGGGAUCUUUUAUUUGUCACUACUGUUUUAUGUGCGCAAAUAUAAAAAUCUUAAUGAUGGAAUAAAGAUGAAUAUUCAGGCA